GAUGAACGCUGGCGGCGUGCCUAAUACAUGCAAGUCGAGCGAACGGACGAGAAGCUUGCUUCUCUGAUGUUAGCGGCGGACGGGUGAGUAACACGUGGAUAACCUACCUAUAAGACUGGGAUAACUUCGGGAAACCGGAGCUAAUACCGGAUAAUAUUUUGAACCGCAUGGUUCAAAAGUAAAAGACGGUCUUGCUGUCACUUAUAGAUGGAUCCGCGUUGCAUUAGAUAGUUGGUAAGGUAACGGCUUACCAAGGCAACGAUGCAUAGCCGACCUGAGAGGGUGAUCGGCCACACUGGAACUGAGACACGGUCCAGACUACUACGGGAGGCAGCGGUAGGGAAUCUUACGCAAUGGGCGAAAGCCUGACGUAGCAACGCCGCGUGAGUGAUGAAGGUCUUCGGAUCGUAAAACUCUGUUAUUAGGGAAGAACAUAUGUGUAAGUAACUGUGCACAUCUUGACGGUACCUAAUCAGAAAGCCACGGCUAACUACGUG
RNAcentral lists this ribosomal RNA (497 nucleotides) under uncultured bacterium. RNAcentral describes it as "partial 16S ribosomal RNA". It matches the Rfam family "Bacterial small subunit ribosomal RNA", at positions 28 to 507 of the family's 1533-position model. The record is from RNAcentral.